RNAcentral lists this ribosomal RNA (497 nucleotides) under uncultured bacterium. RNAcentral describes it as "partial 16S ribosomal RNA". It matches the Rfam family "Bacterial small subunit ribosomal RNA", at positions 28 to 507 of the family's 1533-position model. The record is from RNAcentral.
GAUGAACGCUGGCGGCGUGCCUAAUACAUGCAAGUCGAGCGAACAGACGAGGAGCUUGCUCCCCUGACGUUAGCGGCGGACGGGCGAGUAACACGUGGAUAACCUACUUAUAAGACUGGGAUAACUUCGGGAAACCGGAGCUAAUACCGGAUAAUAUAUUGAACCGCAUGGUUCAAUAGUGAAAGACGGUUUUGCUGUCACUUAUAGAUGGAUCCGCGCCGCAUUAGCUAGUUGGUAAGGUAACGGCUUACCAAGGCAACGAUGCGUAGCCGACAUGAGAAGAUGAUCGGCCACACUGGAACUGAGACACGGUCCAGACUCCUACGGGAGGCAGCAGUAGGGAAUAUUCCGCAAUGGGCGAAAGCCUGACGGAGCAACGCCGCGUGAGUGAUGAAGGUCUUCGGAUCGUAAAACUCUGUUAUUAGGGAAGAACAAAUGUGUAAGUAACUAUGCACGUCUUGACGGUACCUAAUCAGAAAGCCACGGCUAACUACGUG